CUUGUGGGCACUAGACACCCUAAGUAGACAUCAUCCCCAGAGAGAGAGAGAGAGAGAGAGAGAGAGAGAGAGAGAGACUAAGAAAUAAGAAAUUUUGAAGAAUUUAAAUAAACUUUAGAGUAGGGCAACAUAGAAAAUAUGAUAAUUUUCAUGUGGAGAUCCUGCCUCUUCCAUUCACCAACUAAUAUCAAGAAAUUAAGCACUCCCGAGAGAAUCCCAUGAAGUCCAAACAAAGGAGCUCAGAUCCUGCUUCCUACAAGUUUCACCACCUUCUGAUUUCACCACAGGCUGGAG
Molecule: long non-coding RNA, 294 nt
Filed under: Heterocephalus glaber (naked mole-rat)
Lineage: Eukaryota; Metazoa; Chordata; Mammalia; Rodentia; Bathyergidae
Description: lncRNA (ENSHGLG00100051988.1)
Source: RNAcentral